CAGGUCCUCAUAUUUUCUGAACCAGAUUUUAGUGUGUUUUAUAUUCUUAAUUAAUUGUCUAAGAGCUGAAACUCUGUAAUAAUCUUUACUAUUUAUCUGGCAUUGUAUGCUCAGAGUUUUAUCCACAAAAAGUGCUGAUAAUGUUAUAAUUAAUUAGUUCUGACAUUAUAUUUUUGUGUUUUGUUGCAGAAACCAACUGUUGAGGUUCCAUCUCAACAUUCUCCAGAUUCAGAUGUGAGCCAUUAACUGACUUCAUCCCUCCAACAGAAACCAACUGUUGAGGUUCUAUCUCAACAUUCUCUAGAUUCAGAUGACAGCCAUAAACCGACUUCAUCCCUCCAACAGAUUGACAGCAGGACAAAUCGCUGGAAGUGGGUAUGUCUCAAGCUUCUUCCACUUGGUCCACUCCAAAGCGGGCUGCAAAGGGGAAGAAGUGGAAGCAGUUGAAUGACACAUGUUGCAUUUUGUAACUGGCAACAAAGUACCAGGUAAAAAAGAUUGUGAAGCCUGCCUCCAUAAAGAACUAGUAGCUCUACAGGACAGAGAUUGGCUUGCCAUCAAGUACUACAUCCAUAACAGAAUUAUAUUAAAAAAAGGGGAAAAAAAUGUUUUCCCACAUCUUCUGUGGUAGUUUGAGUAUGUUACCAGCAAUUAAAAAAGCAAAAUAAA
Molecule: long non-coding RNA, 669 nt
Organism: Nerophis ophidion (straightnose pipefish)
Lineage: Eukaryota; Metazoa; Chordata; Actinopteri; Syngnathiformes; Syngnathidae
Exons: 4
Source: RefSeq, a predicted model, not a curated record